Non-coding RNA from Paramuricea clavata, 590 nucleotides. The record is from the annotation of a GenBank genome assembly. NCBI's taxonomy places the organism in Eukaryota, Metazoa, Cnidaria, Anthozoa, Malacalcyonacea, Plexauridae.
ACAGGAAGUAAUAAAAAACGGCGGCUUUUGUUGCACAACUUGACCGACGUUUGAGCGAUGAUUCUUGUUAUUUCGUUUGUUUAACCGAUCUUUGGAAGAAUAUUUGUCCAUUAAGUGUGUAAGUCCUUUGGUGUCCGCCAUUAUUACUGUUUAUAUUUGUAUAUUUGUACAAAAAUCAUCGCUCAAACUCGGUCAAGUUGUACAAUAAAAGCCGCCGUUUUUUAUUACUUCCUGUCUUUUUUUUUUUAUUAGCUUCGCCAACUAGGGCAGGGUCACCACAACAGCAUAUGCCAAUUACUGUGGGCCCUUUUUACCUAACCCACCCUGUCAACUUUUCCCUGUGGGAGGAAACCGGAGUACCCGGGGAAAACCCACGGCGUUCGGCAGAGCGUUGACUUUUACUCUUUUCACUUGGGGACUGGGUUCGAGUCGCACUGAGAAGGUACUUAGUGAGACUCGAACCUGCAGCCUCAGAGGUGAAAGGCAAGUGCGCUAACCACUUGGCCACCGAUCCUUCGAUUAGCAAGAAAUCUCGGCCACAUAUCAGAAAAAACCCACCGAUUAUCUAAAAAUAAAAAUUGGAUAUGCUU